CGAAUAGGAAAAACCAUACGAAUAGGUUUACACUCCUAGCAGUCGAACUGGAACAGCAUACAAUAAAUCCCCCCAAGAACGAGACAAGGCUCCGUUUUGAGGGUCAAGCAGGAACAGACAGAGCUGUGGGUUUAUUGUUCUUAUAUACACAUUCUUACACAUUAGUACCACCCACAAGGUUUUGGAAAACAACCAAUAAACACAUACAAUACACUCAGACACUCCCACACAAAAUCCUCCCCUCUGCCUGUGAUACAAUUACCUAACACAAUGGAUAAUG
RNAcentral lists this long non-coding RNA (280 nucleotides) under Pelobates cultripes (western spadefoot toad). The record is from RNAcentral. Lineage: Eukaryota; Metazoa; Chordata; Amphibia; Anura; Pelobatidae.